GCUCCUAUGGCGAAAUUGGCAAACGCGCUGACUUCAAGUAUCAGUAUCGAAAGGUUUCCGAGUUCGAGUCUCGGUAGGAGCA
This 82-nucleotide transfer RNA is filed under the name Hominimerdicola alba SY3. Its description in RNAcentral is "Ruminococcus albus SY3 tRNA". It matches the Rfam family "tRNA". Rfam says of the family: Transfer RNA (tRNA) molecules are approximately 80 nucleotides in length. Their secondary structure includes four short double-helical elements and three loops (D, anti-codon, and T loops). Further hydrogen bonds mediate the characteristic L-shaped molecular structure. tRNAs have two regions of fundamental functional importance: the anti-codon, which is responsible for specific mRNA codon recognition, and the 3' end, to which the tRNAs corresponding amino acid is attached (by aminoacyl-tRNA synthetases). tRNAs cope with the degeneracy of the genetic code in two manners: having more than one tRNA (with a specific anti-codon) for a particular amino acid; and 'wobble' base-pairing, i.e. permitting non-standard base-pairing at the 3rd anti-codon position. The record is from Rfam by way of RNAcentral. Lineage: Bacteria; Bacillati; Bacillota; Clostridia; Eubacteriales; Oscillospiraceae.